This is a small nucleolar RNA of Jaculus jaculus (lesser Egyptian jerboa), 134 nucleotides long. Its record names the gene SNORA70. It matches the Rfam family "Small nucleolar RNA SNORA70". From Rfam's summary of the family: snoRNA U70 seems to be exclusive to mammals and is a member of the H/ACA class of snoRNA which contain H (ANANNA) and ACA box motifs. NCBI's taxonomy places the organism in Eukaryota, Metazoa, Chordata, Mammalia, Rodentia, Dipodidae. The record is from Ensembl.
AUGCAGCCAAUUAAGCCGACCGUGUUCCUCUUGUCAUGGGAUCCGGUGUGCAAUGGCUGCAAACAGCAGCUUCCUUGGUUGUGUUCGUAACCUGCUCCUUGUACAGGUUGCUUUAAGGGACCUCGGAGACAGCU